UGCGUUUUGUGUGGCUUGAUCGCUAUCAUAAUCCGGGUGUCCGGGGUUCGAGUCCCUGAAGCGCCACCA
Molecule: transfer RNA, 69 nt
Filed under: Mariprofundus sp. EBB-1
Lineage: Bacteria; Pseudomonadati; Pseudomonadota; Candidatius Mariprofundia; Mariprofundales; Mariprofundaceae
Description: tRNA-Ser
Source: RNAcentral